AACUAACGCUGGCGGCGUGCCUAACACAUGCAAGUCGUACGAGAAAGUUGGCUUCGGCCGAUGAGUAAAGUGGCGCACGGGUGAGUAAUGCGUGGAUAAUCUGCCCUUUAGUUGGGAAUAACGUACCGAAAGGUGCGCUAAUACCUGAUAAUACUGCAUAACUACUGUUGUGUAGUCAAAGAAGGCCUCUGUUUACAAGCUUUUGCUGAAGGAUGAGUCCGCGUACCAUUAGCUGGUUGGUGGGGUAAUGGCCUACCAAGGCUACGAUGGUUAGCUGGUCUGAGAGGAUGAUCAGCCACACUGGGACUGAGACACGGCCCAGACUCCUACGGGAGGCAGCAGUGAGGAAUAUUGGACAAUGGUCGGAAGACUGAUCCAGCCAUGCCGCGUGAAGGUUACUGUCCUAUGGAUAUUAAACUUCUUUUGUAUGAGAGCAAUAAGGUGCACGUGUGCACCGAUGAGAGUAUCAUACGAAU
This 476-nucleotide ribosomal RNA is filed under the name uncultured bacterium. Its description in RNAcentral is "bacterial SSU rRNA". It matches the Rfam family "Bacterial small subunit ribosomal RNA", at positions 29 to 487 of the family's 1533-position model. The record is from RNAcentral.